GGUCGUGGGUGCCUGCCUGCCGUACGAACGUGGGCCUCCAUGUGGGUGUUUGUGCAUUCGUGUGUGCGUGUGUGUGUGAGGGAGCCAGCCAGCCAGUUCAGUAACAGAGACGCAGAGAAGGCACGGACGGACUCGCGCCGAAGAGAGAGAGAGAGGAAGAAGCGGCGAAGCGACCAAGUCGCAGUGGGUCCUCUUGUGUGUGUGUGCAAUCUAUGAGCGGGUUAUCCACGCCGCAAUCAACUCAGUAGUAGCAGAUGUCGCGUACCCCUGCUUGUUCACCAUCUAACCGGAAUUUGUGCAGGUGCCAUUUACUGAAAUUAUACCUACACCUCUAUAAAUCUCUGUUUUGAUCUGUGACACCCUGUUAUCAACAAGAUUCCCUGACGGAUUAAAUUAAAACUGUUUUACGUGAGAACAAAACGGACCCGUGUGGAUACAUACCCCGAUAACGCUAACAAUGGACUUUCAAUACGAUGCGACGAGGAAACGUUUCAAAUGACAGCUCCACUUGAACCUACAACCCGUAGAGUUUUGAUUCACGAGGCGGGUUUGAGUUUGAAGUGAAAGAUUCAGUUUUGCUUUUGUGAGUGUGUGUGUGUAUGUGUUUGCCUUGAAGGAUAUCAAGUACCAGUUUCAUUUCACGACACACAAUGUCUUUGGAAAGUUUACCUGCCCCCUCGCUUACCUGGAAUGUUAGAUCUAUCUUUCUGGCUUUGAUCUACAUCAGCACUUUACUGACAGGUGUGUUUAGCCGCAGCCAGGGCAAGCAACCUCUGGACCUGAACCAUCUCCCACGUUUUGUAUCCAGCAGUAACAACUACAGCUACCGGGUGGGGGAGGUGGCGGUGUUGAGGUGCACUGUCGAGAACCUGGGAAGAAAA
Molecule: long non-coding RNA, 881 nt
Filed under: Aplysia californica (California sea hare)
Lineage: Eukaryota; Metazoa; Mollusca; Gastropoda; Aplysiida; Aplysiidae
Description: uncharacterized LOC101861808, transcript variant X2
Source: RNAcentral